Molecule: ribosomal RNA, 465 nt
Filed under: uncultured Klebsiella sp.
Lineage: Bacteria; Pseudomonadati; Pseudomonadota; Gammaproteobacteria; Enterobacterales; Enterobacteriaceae
Description: bacterial SSU rRNA
Rfam family: Bacterial small subunit ribosomal RNA
Source: RNAcentral
CCUACGGGUGGCUGCAGUGGGGAAUAUUGCACAAUGGGCGCAAGCCUGAUGCAGCCAUGCCGCGUGUGUGAAGAAGGCCUUCGGGUUGUAAAGCACUUUCAGCGGGGAGGAAGGCGUUAAGGUUAAUAACCUUGGCGAUUGACGUUACCCGCAGAAGAAGCACCGGCUAACUCUGUGCCAGCAGCCGCGGUAAUACGGAGGGUGCAAGCGUUAAUCGGAAUUACUGGGCGUAAAGCGCACGCAGGCGGUCUGUCAAGUCGGAUGUGAAAUCCCCGGGCUCAACCUGGGAACUGCAUUCGAAACUGGCAGGCUAGAGUCUUGUAGAGGGGGGUAGAAUUCCAGGUGUAGCGGUGAAAUGCGUAGAGAUCUGGAGGAAUACCGGUGGCGAAGGCGGCCCCCUGGACAAAGACUGACGCUCAGGUGCGAAAGCGUGGGGAGCAAACAGGAUUAGAUACCCCUGUAGUC